RNAcentral lists this ribosomal RNA (429 nucleotides) under Chloroflexota bacterium. RNAcentral describes it as "Chloroflexi bacterium partial 16S ribosomal RNA". It matches the Rfam family "Bacterial small subunit ribosomal RNA", at positions 355 to 776 of the family's 1533-position model. The record is from RNAcentral. Lineage: Bacteria; Bacillati; Chloroflexota.
UGGGGAAUAUUGCACAAUGGGCGCAAGCCUGAUGCAGCCAUGCCGCGUGUGUGAAGAAGGCCUUCGGGUUGUAAAGCACUUUCAGCGGGGAGGAAGGCGGUGAGGUUAAUAACCUCAUCGAUUGACGUUACCCGCAGAAGAAGCACCGGCUAACUCCGUGCCGGCAGCCGCGGUAAUACGGAGGGUGCAAGCGUUAAUCGGAAUUACUGGGCGUAAAGCGCACGCAGGCGGUCUGUCAAGUCGGAUGUGAAAUCCCCGGGCUCAACCUGGGAACUGCAUUCGAAACUGGCAGGCUAGAGUCUUGUAGAGGGGGGUAGAAUUCCAGGUGUAGCGGUGAAAUGCGUAGAGAUCUGGAGGAAUACCGGUGGCGAAGGCGGCCCCCUGGACAAAGACUGACGCUCAGGUGCGAAAGCGUGGGGAGCAAACAGG